AGGGUUUGACAUACAAGUGUAGGAAGGAAACUGGACGACCCUUCGGGGAGCUUGUACAGGUGCUGCAUGGCUGUCGUCAGCUCGUGUCGUGAGAUGUUCGGUUAAGUCCGCUAACGAGCGCAACCCUCGCUGUGUGUUACAAGUGUCACACGGAACUGCCGGUCAUAAACCGGAGGAAGGUGGGGAUGACGUCAAGUCAGCAUGGCCUUUAUAUCCUGGGCUACACACACGCUACAAUGGGAAGGGACAAUAGGUUGCGAAGCCGCGAGGCGGAGCCAAUCCAGCAAAACUUCCCUCAGUUCAGAUUGCAGGCUGCAACUCGCCUGCAUGAAGUUGGAGUUGCUAGUAAACGCAGGUCAGCCAUACUGCGUUGAAUACGUUCCCGGGGCUU
This 391-nucleotide ribosomal RNA is filed under the name uncultured Anaerolineaceae bacterium. RNAcentral's name for it is "bacterial SSU rRNA". It matches the Rfam family "Bacterial small subunit ribosomal RNA", at positions 976 to 1382 of the family's 1533-position model. The record is from RNAcentral. Lineage: Bacteria; Bacillati; Chloroflexota; Anaerolineae; Anaerolineales; Anaerolineaceae.